GAAUAACCCUGUAGGCUUCAGAU
Molecule: non-coding RNA, 23 nt
Filed under: Cricetulus griseus (Chinese hamster)
Lineage: Eukaryota; Metazoa; Chordata; Mammalia; Rodentia; Cricetidae
Source: RNAcentral